AUGGUUCUCAGGCUGCCAAGUAGACCCCACACAACACAUUCUAAUUUUUCUGGAAGUUUCCAACCAGAGGUCUUGGCAAAACUUCCUCUGAAAAUGCUCCAAUGCAAUAAAUGCAACGCUUUCAAAGUUUUGAAUGUGACACGUGACCUGAACAUGGAGCUUAUAUCAGAAACAAUGACAACAGGAGAAUACUAAUGAUAAAAAGAUCAACAACUUGUAUCAAAAGCCUUGAGUCAGGUACAAUGUUAAGUAUUUCUUUUUACCAUCUUUAUUCUAAAUAAUACACUGCACUUCUAUUAAUGCAGUUUGCAAACACAUAGUUGACUUGCAGUUUGGUUCUUAUUGGUCCUAAUAAGUUAUAUAUGUAUACAACAAAUGGAAGAUGAAUAAAUGUGACUUAGCAGCAGCAAUUAAAUGGACAAAGCAAAAUUCGAGUCAACUCUAAGCGCAUAACUUGCAUAAUAGAGAUACUGUCUGUGAAAGUGUUUAAAUUUCCAUACUUGGAUUCAAAUGUUGAACCUCACAUUAAUUUAAAAUUUAUCAAUUUAAGGGAUAAUAUUCAUGAGAUAGUACUUCUGUUAUCUUAUCACCCCAUUUAACAAUCUUACUGGAUCAACUUAUCAUUCCACACCUCAGACUCAAAACCCAUCUUCACCUUGGCCCCAUGACACCUGCCCAACCCAUGAGACUUGAAAAUGCCCUACCCAUUCUUAUCUUCUUGACUAGGUCUUUUUUAAAAACUUAGAGUGCCUUUCAACACCUUCACCUAUCAAAACCCUAUCCCAUAUCAGGUUCUGUGCUUCCAAGAAAUCUUGUCAACUCAUCUCACUGCUUCUAUCCCUGCUUAAAGGUUUGGUUCAACAGCUACUUCCUACUUCCUGCUAUGUGGGACUUAUCUUGUGACUUGUUAUCUCUCCUACUAGAUUAUCAGUGUUAAUGCUUACAUCACACACACACACACACACACACACAGGACCUUGCAUGUAGUAAGGCUCUAUUUGUGCAUUCACAAAUAUUUGUUGAGCGUCUAGUAAUGUACUAAGCACUGAUUUAGUUGAUUGGAGCAACAGAGUCUAACACAAAUUUGAGAGUGUUUGUCCCUCAUUAUACUUAAAUAAUGUAUUAUAAGUCUAUUGCUGUAUUAAGUGAUAUAAAUAAGAGCUAAAAUAAAGUGAGUUCCUGAAGAGAAAAUGUAUAUACACUCAGGAUUUGCACAUUUAAUCUCAUUUUAAAUUCAUUAAGGAGUAUCCCAAUUAAAAUUUGUGGUUUAUUCUUUUUUAAAAAAACUGAACGGUCCUUUCUAAUGUGAUUGAUACAUCCUAAUUUACCUUUUCUAAUGUCAGAUUUUGAUAUAUUUCUCCUUUUCUUAUAACAGAAACAUCUGCAUUUCUCAAUCUUCAUCAUAUUUAGCCCUUGUCUGGGCACGCUGGCCCACGCUGUAAUCACAGCACUUUGGGAGGCCAAGGCAGGUGGAUCACUUGAGCUCAGGAGUUCAAGACCAGCCUGGUCAAUGUGGUGAAACCCAGUCUCUACUAAAAAUACAAAAAAUUAACCAGGCAUGGUGGUUUGUGCCUGUAGUUCCAGCUGCUCAAGAGGCUGAGGCAGGAGAAUCACUUGUACCUGGGAGGCAGAGGCUACAGUGGGUUGAGAUCGUGCCACUGCACUACAGCCUGGGUGACAAAGCAAGACUCUGUCUCAAAAAGAUAAAGGAAAAAGAAGAAAUAAAUAUUUGACCCUUGAGCUAACCAUUUUCAACCUCGAGUGUGAAUCAGAAUCUCUUACAGGAUUUUAGUAAAACAGUUUGCUAGAGCCAAGCCCCAGAGUUUCUGAUUCAGGAGGUCUGAAGUGGAGGUAAAGGGUGUGAUUUGCAACAAGUUCCCAGUGAGGUUGUCAGCUGCUGAUCCUAACAGCACUCUGAGAACCAUUGGCUUAAGCUAACUAAAAAACUAACUGCAAUUUAACGGGAAGCUCACUGGGUUUAACCUAAACUCCGCUUUCCUGAGGCCAACAUUAAAAUGGGCAUCAUGAUUCCUACGCAGAAGGGUUAUGGUGAGGAUUAAAUGAGAUGAUGUACAUGAAACCGUCUCAUCUGAGGUUCACGUCUAUGAAAUGUGAGUUAAAACUACACAUUUUCCAUUUAGCCAUAAAAUAUGGCCAAAGCAUAUAUUUCGCUAGAUUCUCCCACUUAAGGAAUUCCAGCUAUUUAUUAGAAAUUCUGGUCUCUAAAUUUGACAGUUUUGACUGAUAAAAUAAUAGAAUCAUACAGCUGGCCAAGACCUUAGAGAUUUUCUGGAGUGAGCAGUUAAACGUUUUGGAGCAGGUAAACAGUCAAACCUUUGUGCUUACUUUCUUGAUUCAAUAAAGCAAUCAAAACAAUUGAAUGGGUCUCAUGUAUCAUUCCUCAACUUGAAUAUUUGGUUUUUCCCAAAUUGAAUUAUUU
This 2440-nucleotide long non-coding RNA is filed under the name Callithrix jacchus (white-tufted-ear marmoset). Its description in RNAcentral is "lncRNA (ENSCJAG00000085639.1)". Lineage: Eukaryota; Metazoa; Chordata; Mammalia; Primates; Cebidae. The record is from RNAcentral.